AUGGAACGCUGGCGGCAGGCCUAACACAUGCAAGUCGAGCGGAUGACGGGAGCUUGCUCCUUGAUUCAGCGGCGGACGGGUGAGUAAUGCCUAGGAAUCUGCCUGGUAGUGGGGGACAACGUUUCGAAAGGAACGCUAAUACCGCAUACGUCCUACGGGAGAAAGCAGGGGACCUGCGGGCCUUGCGCUAUCAGAUGAGCCUAGGUCGGAUUAGCUAGUAGGGGAGGUAAUGGCUCACCUAGGCGACGAUCCGUAACUGGUCUGAGAGGAUGAUCGGUCACACUGGAACUGAGACACGGUCCAGACUCCUACGGGGGGCAGAAGUGGGGAAUAUUCGACAGUGGGCGAAAGCUUGAUCCAGCCGUGCCGCGUGUGGGAAGAAGGUAUUCGGAUUGUAAAGCACUUUAAGUUGGGAGGAGGGUUGUACGUUAAUACCGUGCAAUUUUGACGUUACCGACAGAAUAAGCACCGGCUCACUCUGUGCCAGCCGCCGCAGUAA
This 499-nucleotide ribosomal RNA is filed under the name uncultured bacterium. Its description in RNAcentral is "partial 16S ribosomal RNA". It matches the Rfam family "Bacterial small subunit ribosomal RNA", at positions 31 to 523 of the family's 1533-position model. The record is from RNAcentral.